Molecule: ribosomal RNA, 490 nt
Filed under: uncultured bacterium
Lineage: Bacteria
Description: partial 16S ribosomal RNA
Rfam family: Bacterial small subunit ribosomal RNA
Source: RNAcentral
AUUAAACGCUGGCGGCAGGCCUAACACAUGCAAGUCGAACGGUAACAGGAAGAAGCUUGCUUCUUUGCUGACGAGUGGCGGACGGGUGAGUAAUGUCUGGGAAACUGCCUGAUGGAGGGGGAUAACUACUGGAAACGGUAGCUAAUACCGCAUAACGUCGCAAGACCAAAGAGGGGGACCUUCGGGCCUCUUGCCAUCGGAUGUGCCCAGAUGGGAUUAGCGUGUUGGUGGGGUAACGGCUCACCAAGGCGACGAUCCCUAGCUGGUCUGAGAGGAUGACCAGCCACACUGGAACUGAGACACGGUCCAGACUCCUACGGGAGGCAGCAGUGGGGAAUAUUGCACAAUGGGCGCAAGCCUGAUGCAGCCAUGCCGCGUGUAUGAAGAAGGCCUUCGGGUUGUAAAGUACUUUCAGCGGGGAGGAAGGGAGUAAAGUUAAUACCUUUGCUCAUUGACGUUACCCGCAGAAGAAGCACCGGCUAACUCCGUG